Molecule: ribosomal RNA, 574 nt
Filed under: uncultured bacterium
Lineage: Bacteria
Description: partial 16S ribosomal RNA
Rfam family: Bacterial small subunit ribosomal RNA
Source: RNAcentral
UGGGGAAUUUUGGACAAUGGGCGAAAGCCUGAUCCAGCAAUGCCGCGUGUGUGAAGAAGGCCUUCGGGUUGUAAAGCACUUUUGUCCGGAAAGAAAUCCUUGGCUCUAAUACAGUCGGGGGAUGACGGUACCGGAAGAAUAAGCACCGGCUAACUACGUGCCAGCAGCCGCGGUAAUACGUAGGGUGCAAGCGUUAAUCGGAAUUACUGGGCGUAAAGCGUGCGCAGGCGGUUUGCUAAGACCGAUGUGAAAUCCCCGGGCUCAACCUGGGAACUGCAUUGGUGACUGGCAGGCUAGAGUAUGGCAGAGGGGGGUAGAAUUCCACGUGUAGCAGUGAAAUGCGUAGAGAUGUGGAGGGAUACCGAUGGCGAAGGCAGCCCCCUGGGCCAAUACUGACGCUCAUGCACGAAAGCGUGGGGAGCAAACAGGAUUAGAUACCCUGGUAGUCCACGCCCUAAACGAUGUCAACUAGUUGUUGGGGAUUCAUUUCCUUAGUAACGUAGCUAACGCGUGAAGUUGACCGCCUGGGGAGUACGGUCGCAAGAUUAAAACUUAAAUGAAUUGACGGGGUCAU